This 464-nucleotide small RNA is filed under the name Pongo abelii (Sumatran orangutan). Its description in RNAcentral is "retained intron". Lineage: Eukaryota; Metazoa; Chordata; Mammalia; Primates; Hominidae. The record is from RNAcentral.
GUUGCCCGGACGCGGAGCGAGAGGCUGAGAGAGUCGGGGACGCUAUCCGCUUCCAUCCGUCGCGCAGACCCUGCCGGAGCCGCUGCCGCUAUGGAUGAUCGAGAGGAUCUGGUGUACCAGGCGAAGCUGGCCGAGCAGGCUGAGCGAUACGACGAAAUGGUGGAGUCAAUGAAGAAAGUAGCAGGGAUGGAUGUGGAGCUGACAGUUGAAGAAAGAAACCUUCUAUCUGUUGCAUAUAAGAAUGUGAUUGGAGCUAGAAGAGCCUCCUGGAGAAUAAUCAGCAGCAUUGAACAGAAAGAAGAAAACAAGGGAGGAGAAGACAAGCUAAAAAUGAUUCGGGAAUAUCGGCAAAUGGUGAGAUUGUUGUGCCGUCAUCCCCCCUUAUCCACAGUUUGAGUUACCUGUAGGACGGUACACUAAGAUUUUGAGAGAAAAGGAGACGACAUUCAUAUAAGUUGUAUUAC